CCUUCGAAGGGUGAGUAACACGUGGGCAAUCUGCCCUUCACUCCGGGACAAGCCCUGGAAACGGGGUCUAAUACCGGAUAACACUUCUUCGGGCAUCCGAAGAGGUUGAAAGCUCCGGCGGUGAAGGAUGAGCCCGCGGCCUAUCAGCUUGUUGGUGGGGUAAUGGCCCACCAAGGCGACGACGGGUAGCCGGCCUGAGAGGGCGACCGGCCACACUGGGACUGAGACACGGCCCAGACUCCUACGGGAGGCAGCAGUGGGGAAUAUUGCACAAUGGGCGAAAGCCUGAUGCAGCGACGCCGCGUGAGGGAUGACGGCCUUCGGGUUGUAAACCUCUUUCAGCAGGGAAGAAGCGCAAGUGACGGUACCUGCAGAAGAAGCGCCGGCUAACUACGUGCCAGCAGCCGCGGUAAUACGUAGGGCGCAAGCGUUGUCCGGAAUUAUUGGGCGUAAAGAGCUCGUAGGCGGCCUGUCGCGUCGGAUGUGAAAGCCCGGGGCUUAACCCCGGGUCUGCAUUCGAUACGGGCAGGCUAGAGUGUGGUAGGGGAGAUCGGAAUUCCUGGUGUAGCGGUGAAAUGCGCAGAUAUCAGGAGGAACACCGGUGGCGAAGGCGGAUCUCUGGGCCAUUACUGACGCUGAG
RNAcentral lists this ribosomal RNA (640 nucleotides) under Streptomyces scopiformis. Its description in RNAcentral is "bacterial SSU rRNA". It matches the Rfam family "Bacterial small subunit ribosomal RNA", at positions 96 to 750 of the family's 1533-position model. The record is from RNAcentral. Lineage: Bacteria; Bacillati; Actinomycetota; Actinomycetes; Kitasatosporales; Streptomycetaceae.